RNAcentral lists this ribosomal RNA (482 nucleotides) under uncultured bacterium. RNAcentral describes it as "partial 16S ribosomal RNA". It matches the Rfam family "Bacterial small subunit ribosomal RNA", at positions 30 to 507 of the family's 1533-position model. The record is from RNAcentral.
AUUGAACGCUGGCGGCAUGCCUUACACAUGCAAGUCGAACGGUAACAGGUCUUCGGAUGCUGACGAGUGGCGAACGGGUGAGUAAUACAUCGGAACGUGCCCGAUCGUGGGGGAUAACGAAGCGAAAGCUUUGCUAAUACUGCAUACGAUCUACGGAUGAAAGCAGGGGACCGCAAGGCCUUGCGCGAACGGAGCGGCCGAUGGCAGAUUAGGUAGUUGGUGGGAUAAAAGCUUACCAAGCCGACGAUCUGUAGCUGGUCUGAGAGGACGACCAGCCACACUGGGACUGGGACACGGCCCAGACUCCUACGGGAGGCAGCAGUGGGGAAUUUUGGACAAUGGGCGAAAGCCUGAUCCAGUCAUGCCGCGUGCAGGAUGAAGGCCUUCGGGUUGUAAACUGCUUUUGUACGGAACGAAAAGACUCUGGUUAAUACCUGGGGUCCAUGACGGUACCGUAAGAAUAAGCACCGGCUAACUACGUG